CUUUCAAGUCCGAUGCUAAAGACUGGGGCUCAACCCCAGGGGUACGUUGGAUACUGUGAGGCUAGACGGUCGGAGGGGGUAGCGGAAUUUCCGGAGUAGCGGUGAAAUGCGCAGAUACCGGAAGGAACGCCAAUAGCGAAGGCAGCUACCUGGACGACUUGUGACGCUGAGGCGCGAAAGCGUGGGGAGCAAACCGGAUUAGAUACCCGGGUAGUCCACGCCCUAAACCAUGAGUGCUGGGUGUCCGGCUUCUGCUGGGUGCCGUAGCUAACGCGCUAAGCACUCCGCCUGGGAAGUACGCACGCAAGUGUGAAACUCAAAGGAAUUGACGGGGGCCCGCACAAGCGGUGGAGCAUGUGGUUUAAUUCGAAGCGACGCGAAGAACCUUACCAGGCCUUGACAUGCCCGGGAACCCCUCUGAAAGGAGGGGGUGCCCGCAAGGGAGCCGGGACACAGGUGCUGCAUGGCCGUCGUCAGCUCGUGUCGUGAGAUGUUGGGUUAAGUCCCGCAACGAGCGCAACCCCUAUCCCUAGUUGCCAGCAGUUCGGCUGGGCACUCUAUGGAGACUGCCUGCGAAAGCAGGAGGAAGGCGGGGAUGACGUCUGGUCCGCAUGGCCCUUACGGCCUGGGCGACACACGUGCUACAAUGCCAAGGACAGAGCGCUGCUACCUCGCGAGAGGACGCCAAUCGCAAAAACCUUGGCUCAGUUCGGAUUGGAGUCUGCAACUCGACUCCAUGAAGCCGGAAUCGCUAGU
Molecule: ribosomal RNA, 756 nt
Filed under: uncultured Thermaceae bacterium
Lineage: Bacteria; Thermotogati; Deinococcota; Deinococci; Thermales; Thermaceae
Description: bacterial SSU rRNA
Rfam family: Bacterial small subunit ribosomal RNA
Source: RNAcentral